This 660-nucleotide ribosomal RNA is filed under the name Klebsiella pneumoniae. RNAcentral describes it as "partial 23S ribosomal RNA". It matches the Rfam family "Bacterial large subunit ribosomal RNA", at positions 2270 to 2925 of the family's 2925-position model. Lineage: Bacteria; Pseudomonadati; Pseudomonadota; Gammaproteobacteria; Enterobacterales; Enterobacteriaceae. The record is from RNAcentral.
UGACUGGGGCGGUCUCCUCCCAAAGCGUAACGGAGGAGCACGAAGGUUAGCUAAUCCUGGUCGGACAUCAGGAGGUUAGUGCAAUGGCAUAAGCUAGCUUGACUGCGAGCGUGACGGCGCGAGCAGGUGCGAAAGCAGGUCAUAGUGAUCCGGUGGUUCUGAAUGGAAGGGCCAUCGCUCAACGGAUAAAAGGUACUCCGGGGAUAACAGGCUGAUACCGCCCAAGAGUUCAUAUCGACGGCGGUGUUUGGCACCUCGAUGUCGGCUCAUCACAUCCUGGGGCUGAAGUAGGUCCCAAGGGUAUGGCUGUUCGCCAUUUAAAGUGGUACGCGAGCUGGGUUUAGAACGUCGUGAGACAGUUCGGUCCCUAUCUGCCGUGGGCGCUGGAGAAUUGAGGGGGGCUGCUCCUAGUACGAGAGGACCGGAGUGGACGCAUCACUGGUGUUCGGGUUGUCAUGCCAAUGGCACUGCCCGGUAGCUAAAUGCGGAAGAGAUAAGUGCUGAAAGCAUCUAAGCACGAAACUUGCCCCGAGAUGAGUUCUCCCUGAGACUUUAAGUCUCCUGAAGGAACGUUGAAGACGACGACGUUGAUAGGCCGGGUGUGUAAGCGCAGCGAUGCGUUGAGCUAACCGGUACUAAUGAACCGUGAGGCUUAACCUU